UCCUUAUAAUUUAUGGAGCUUUUUAUGUUUACAAAAAUAAAUAAAACCAGUGUAGUUACUCGCGCGAUGCAGCGCGUAGACACUAUCAAAACAAUCAUUAUUUCUAUAAACUAAUUAAUAUUAGUUUAAAUUGAAACUAAUAUUAAAUAAAAUUUUUUUUACAAACAAAAUUUUCAUUCUCUUUAUUAAAUAAAAACUAUUAAAUUAAAAUUGUAACCAUUAAAUAAAAAACUAUUAAAGAUGACAUUUUCAUACUUAUUAACUCAACAAUCUAUAUAAUCAAACUCAAUAGUUUAGUGAAAAAAAUAAUAAGAUUAUAAGAAAUGACAAAUACAAAAUUUACAAUUUGAUUACACAUAACAACUCAAAUAAAAAAAAUUGUUACAAGUUCAAGCGAGUGUUAAUUGAAAAUUAAAUAAAGUUGAGGGCCUAUUUCAAAUGGCCUAUACAGGAUCUCUCAGUAAAUAUUUUUACCAAUCCUUUUUUAAUAUUAAAAAAAAAAACAAA
RNAcentral lists this long non-coding RNA (507 nucleotides) under Ananas comosus (pineapple). RNAcentral describes it as "long non-coding RNA (ACOM_LNC020695)". The record is from RNAcentral. Lineage: Eukaryota; Viridiplantae; Streptophyta; Magnoliopsida; Poales; Bromeliaceae.